UACAUGUGACCCAGCUUCAUAGAUUACCUUCUAUAGAAGAAAAAAGGCACAGUUAAUUUCACCGACUGCUGGAUCAGAGGAAACAGUUAUUUCCCUGGAAGCCCAUCAUACAACUGUUUCUAUUUCCUACUGUCAUGGAGAAGAAUAUAAAACGAAGAAGCACGUGAUACUAAAGCUUUCUACAUUCAACAUCAUAAGGAUCUCUCUUAAAGAAUUGCUGUAGGACUAACACUGAUUAUAAUUUGUCUUAAACAUAAUGUGGUGAAACAGAGGAACAGAAGUUGUCCAUCUUUGUGCAGACUAAGGAAUUACAAUGUUUAUUUUGUGAGCUAAAACAGUUUUGC
This 344-nucleotide long non-coding RNA is filed under the name Chrysemys picta bellii (western painted turtle). RNAcentral's name for it is "lncRNA (ENSCPBG00000016954.1)". Lineage: Eukaryota; Metazoa; Chordata; Testudines; Emydidae. The record is from RNAcentral.